GACUGGAUAGCCUAGUGGUAAAGGCAUCACAAUGACAAUGCUGAGGUCCCAGGUUCAAAUCCUGGUCUAGUCA
RNAcentral lists this transfer RNA (73 nucleotides) under Cronartium ribicola 11-2. RNAcentral describes it as "tRNA-Val (GAC) (tRNA-Val-GAC-17-1)". It matches the Rfam family "tRNA". Rfam says of the family: Transfer RNA (tRNA) molecules are approximately 80 nucleotides in length. Their secondary structure includes four short double-helical elements and three loops (D, anti-codon, and T loops). Further hydrogen bonds mediate the characteristic L-shaped molecular structure. tRNAs have two regions of fundamental functional importance: the anti-codon, which is responsible for specific mRNA codon recognition, and the 3' end, to which the tRNAs corresponding amino acid is attached (by aminoacyl-tRNA synthetases). tRNAs cope with the degeneracy of the genetic code in two manners: having more than one tRNA (with a specific anti-codon) for a particular amino acid; and 'wobble' base-pairing, i.e. permitting non-standard base-pairing at the 3rd anti-codon position. The record is from RNAcentral. Lineage: Eukaryota; Fungi; Basidiomycota; Pucciniomycetes; Pucciniales; Coleosporiaceae.